AUUAAACGCUGGCGGCAUGCCUUACACAUGCAAGUCGAACGGUAGCGCGGGGCAACCUGGCGACGAGUGGCGAACGGGUGAGUAAAGCAUCGGAACGUGCCCUGGAAUGGGGGAUAACGUAGCGAAAGUUACGCUAAUACCGCAUAUUCUGUGAGCAGGAAAGCAGGGGAUCGCAAGACCUUGCGUUCUGGGAGCGGCCGAUGUCGGAUUAGCUAGUUGGUGGGGUAAAAGCCUACCAAGGCGACGAUCCGUAGCGGGUCUGAGAGGAUGAUCCGCCACACUGGGACUGAGACACGGCCCAGACUCCUACGGGAGGCAGCAGUGGGGAAUUUUGGACAAUGGGGGCAACCCUGAUCCAGCCCAUUGUC
This 368-nucleotide ribosomal RNA is filed under the name uncultured bacterium. RNAcentral's name for it is "bacterial SSU rRNA". It matches the Rfam family "Bacterial small subunit ribosomal RNA", at positions 30 to 398 of the family's 1533-position model. The record is from RNAcentral.